This is a non-coding RNA of Aegilops tauschii subsp. strangulata, 4282 nucleotides long. The record is from RefSeq and is a predicted model, not a curated record. Lineage: Eukaryota; Viridiplantae; Streptophyta; Magnoliopsida; Poales; Poaceae.
AAAAUGGGCUAAAAAACUUGUUCGGCGAGUUAAGUAACAACAGCUCGGCCCAGUCCCUUGACAGGCCGAAUUGGGCCGAGCUUUAGCCGAUUAGGGUUCUUCCCAGCGUUCUAGUGUGAGACCUGCAGCUUCCCCCCAAUUGAAUCAGCAGCUACCAGAUCUGACCAGAUCUCCUCCCUGAUUCGACCAGGGAUAAGCAAAUUUCCGGCGAAUUCCCCCCGCCCCUCUGCAAUUUCUCGGCCUCGAUUGUUGCCUCGUCGAUCUCCGCAAAAUCGAUUGUAAAUUUUCUUUUCCCCGAUUAUUAUGCACGCACCCAAUACGGAUAGUAUCUUGAGCCACCGCAGCCCGACGGAUUGUUCGGGUGGCGAUUUCGUUAUCUUUCUCCAUGUUCUUCGUAACAUCUCUACGGUUUUACAGGAGUCGGGGUCAUUUUGACGACCUGUAGCUUCCAGAUUCGAUGGCCAUAAUUGGUUUUCUCUUCCAGUUACUCCCAGAUCAAGUUGCGGCUCUAAUAGCCAUAGCCCGAGAAAUAGACUCCCUCGCACGCUGAUAAAUUUAUUGCUCUUGCGAUUUGUUCUUUGAUUAAUCUUGGUAUCUACGUAAUUGACAUUUCGUUUUUUUAGUUUGGUUAUUUCUGCGUUACUGUCAGGCCUGCGUAUAUGAUUUCUCCAUCUUUUUUUAGGAUACUUAAUUACAAUUGUUCUUGUGUGGCUUUGAUGACAACAAGAUUACUUCCUCAUACCUUAAUUUCAGUUAAGGACCAAAGCUGAUGACUUUAUUUGUGCGUGUCUGAGCCUCUGCACUUUUUUUUUCCUGCAGUGCAGUUGUUUAAGUUUGGUUCUCUUAUACAGUACUCCCUCCGUCCCAUAAUAUAAGAACGUUUUGAAACUACAUUAGUGUCAAAAACGUUCUUAUAUUAUGGGACAGAGGGAGUACCUUCUUAAGCUGGUUUUUGUCUCGGAUUUUGUUUCUUGUAUUUUAGACGACAAUUGUGUAUUGCAGGAACUAGUUUGCGUGGCUGUGAUGACAACUAGGUUACUUGUUCAUAACUUAAUUUCAGUUAAGGACCAAACCUGAUGACUUUAUUUGUGCUUGUCUGAGCCGUUGCACUUGUUUGUGUCUUGAGUGCAGCUGUUUAAAUCUGGUUCUCUUCCAGUUGUUCUAAGGACCAAACCUUCUUAAGUUGGUUUGUCUGGAUUCUUGUUCUUGUAUUUUAGGCGACAAUUGUGUAUUAGAGGAACUAGCUUGCCUGGCUGUGAUGACAACUAGAUUACUUCUUCAUACCUUAAUUUCAGUUAAGGACCAAAACUGAUGACUCUAUUUGUGCGUGUCUGAGCCGGUGCACUUGUUUGUCUGUGCAGUGCACUUGUUUAAAUUUGGUUCUUUUCUAGUUCUACUCCCUCCGUUCACAAAUAUAAGUUGUUUUGGAAAUUUCAAUAUGGACUACAUACGGACUGAAAUGAGUGAACAAACACACUGAAACGUGUGUAUAUACAUCCGAUUCAGAAAAAGAAAAGGUUAGAACAUCUUAUAUUUGUGAGCAGAGGGAGUACCUUGUAACGUUGGUUUUUGUCAUGAUUUUUGUUCUUGUGUUUUAGGUGACAAAAUUGUGUAAUAGAGGAACUGGUUUGCCUGGCUGUGAUGACAAUAAGAUAACUUCUUCAUACCUUAAUUUCAGUUAAGGACCAAAUCUGAUGACUUUAUUUGUGCGUGUCUGAGCCGGUACACUUGUUUGUCUGUGCAGUUAUUUAAGUGAUUCUGUCCUACCUUCUUAAUCUAAUUUUCGUCACAGAUUUUGUUUCUUGUAUUUGAGGCGACAAUUGUGUAUUAAAGGAACUCUGUGAUGACAACAAGAUUACUUGUUCAUACCUUAAUUUCAGUUGAGGACCAAAGCUGAUGACUUCAUUUGUGCGUGUCUGAGCCUCUGCACUUGUUUUCUUUUUCUGGAGUUCAGCUUUUCAAGUUUGGUUCUCUUAUACAGUACCUUUUGUUAUUUUUUGUCUCGAUUUUGGUUCUUGUAUUUUAGGUGACAAUUGUGUAUUGGAGGAACUAGUUUGCGUGGCUGUGAUGACAACUAGAUUGCUUGUUCAUACCUUAAUUUCAGUUAAGGACCAAAUCUGAUGACUUUAUUUGUGCGUGUCUGAGCCGGCACACUUGUUUAUAUCUUGAGUGCAGCUGUUUAAAUCUGGUUCUUUUCUACCUUCUUACAUUGGUUUGUCUGGAUGUUUGUUCUUGUAUUUUAGGCAACAAUUGUGUAUUAGAGGAACUAGCUUGCAUGGCUGUGAUGACAACUAGAUUACUUCUUUAUACCUUAAAUUUCAGGUGACAAAAUUGUGUAAUAGAGGAACUGGUUUGCCUGGCUGUGAUGACAAUAAGAUAGCUUCUUCAUAUCUUAAUUUCAGUUAAGGACCAAAUCCGAUGACUUUAUUUUUUGCGUGUCUGAGCCGGUACACUUGUUUGUCUGUGCAGUUGUUUAAGUGAUUCUGUCCUACCUUCUUAAUCCGAUUUUCGUCACAGAUUUUGUUUCUUGUAUUUUAGGCGACAAUUGUGUAUUAAAGGAACUAGUUUGCGUGGCUGUGAUGACAACAAGAUUACUUGUUCAUACCUUAAUUUCAAUUGAGGACCAAAUCUGAUGACUUUAUUUGUGCGUGUCUGAGCCGGCACACUUGUUUGUGUAUGCAGUGCAGUUGUUUAAAUUUGGUUGUCUUCUACCAUCUUAUGUUGGUUUUGUUUUAAUUUUUGCUCUUGUAUUUUAGGUGCAAUUGUGUAUUAGAGGAACUAGUUUUGCGUGGCUGUGAUGACAACAAGAUUACUUCUUCAUACCUUAAUUUCUGUUAAGGACCAAACCUGAUGACUUUAUUUGUGCGUGUCUGAGCCGGCGCACUUGUUUCUCUGUGCAGUUGUAUAAGUUUGAUUCUCUUCUACCUUCUUAAGCUGAUUUUCGUCUCAGAUUUUGUUUCUUGCAUUUUACGCGACAAUUGUGUAUUAGAGGAACCAGUUUGGGAGGCUGUGAUGACAGCUAGAUUACUUGUUCAUAACUUAAUUUCAGUUAAUACCAAAUCUGACAACUUUAUUUGUGCGUGUCUGAGCCGGCACACUUGUUUGUCUGUACAGUUGCUUAAGUUCGAUUCUGUCCUACCUUCUUAAGUUUAUUUUCGUCUCAAUUUUCUGGUCUGUGUUUUAGGUGAUGACAAUUGUGUAUUAGAGGAACUAGUUUGCGUGGCUGUGAUGACAACAAGAUUACUUCUUCAUACCUUAAUUUCAGUUAAGGACCAAAACUGAUGACUUUAUUUGUGCGUGUCUGAGCCGGAGCACUUGUUCUGUACUGUUUUUUAAGUUUCAUCCUCUCCUACCUUAUUAAGUUUUUUUGGUCUCAAUUAUUUGUUCUUGUAUUUUAGGUGACAACUGUGUAUUAGACGAACUAGCAUAUUGAUUUUGCAUUCUCCAGUAUCUAUUGUGGUUUAGGUAACAUCACCAAUGAUUGUUCAUGGGAGUUCCACAAUUUUGGCAAGCCAUUGCUUCUUGAUAGCUAUUGGCUUCAGUUACUCCCAUAUUGAUGCAACGCAAGAUAGCCCUUGUACCAUGAAUAUUGUUGGACUUCGGGUUAGGCCUGCCUUCGACAUAUGCAAAUAUGCCUUUGUGCUUUGUACUGUGUUAGCUCGGUUUUGUAUUUUUUUUUGUGUAAACUCAGUUUGGCAUCUUCAGUUGUGAUGUCCUUUUUAUCUGCUUCUAGUGUUCUUGUCUAGCUGAGAUAUUCUGUUUCUUUAUUUAUCAUUUGAUGAGCUUUUUGCAUAUCUGAGCCAAUGCUGCUUAUUCUCGGUGUGCUCCUUGUUGCUAAACGUUUUGUACUAUUUUGGUUUGGUUUGCCCAGGUUUUGUUUCUGAUUAACCGUCUGUUAAAGGCACUUAUUUCAACCCUGUGUAUUUCUUGAUUCUCAUGCAUUUGCAAACUAGAUUAGGCAGAUAUGAUCAAUUCAUCAUAUUCACUUUGCAUUUUCAUGUGUGAUUGAGAUCAAAAUCGUUCUUAUGGUUGAUAUUUCCGUACGGGCACAACAAAACAAUGGUUUUUUCAGGAACUUGCUUCAUAAUGAGAAACUGGCAAAAUUGAAUAACAUCGGCCCAAGAGAGACUGUAUGAUCGUCCUGUAUAGGUAGCUAGCUGGAUACUGUUCUUAUCUGUUGGAUGUCCUAUUGAUACGUAUCUCUGUUGUAAUACUCCUCACUGUAUCAAUCCUGUCCUGAACAUGAUCAAUACAGGAGUAUCAAAUUUAAGGGCCAUCACCA